Long non-coding RNA from Cairina moschata (Muscovy duck), 2966 nucleotides. The record is from Ensembl. Lineage: Eukaryota; Metazoa; Chordata; Aves; Anseriformes; Anatidae.
GGGUAGGCUGGCAAACCUGUGGCUGUGCAGACAGGAGGUUGCUCUUUUAAUUGGAAGUUGUUCUUUUUACUGGGAAGUAGAAGUAGAGGCUACGACAGCUGAAGGGGGUUGGGUGAAAUGAAUAGAGAACCAUAAAACAAUGACAAGUUUUUUGAGGAGUGCUGGGACCUGACCAAAGGCCCUAAAAGACAGCGAAUGGCUUCAGUGGAUGGUGAGCACGCUAUGCUCUUCCAUAAGACUGGCCCCUGCAAGUGAUUUGCCUGAUGUUUAAAGGCCUUAUUUUUCACUCUAUUCCCUUGUUGUAUAGGCCAACUGCUCUGAUUUAGGUGCAAGGAUGGAGAAAGAGCAAACUACAAAGUUCCCGUACUGAUUUCAGCAUGAACGCUUUCAGACAGCUCCGAGUCUAGAGCCACUUCUGUGACUUUUUAGUAAUAAAAAUAUAAACAUUGAUUUAACAGCCAGGAGAACUGAGGUCAGGAGGCUCAGGUCUUGGGACAGUGUUUACAGAUCUCUGCUUACUUUUUGUUAAGGGACUGUGGACAGGAACGAGUUCCUACCAUGUCUUGCCUCUUUUGUUCAUCUCCAGGUCCCGGUUUGGCGAGGUCCUACACCCCUUGCUGAAGAGGCCAGGCAGCUCUUUGGAUUACAUCUUCAACUGGGACAUCCCUGAGCUGUGCCAGAGUCAAAAUGCCCAAGUGCUUCUAUCGAAAAGCAAAACUGAUUUUCCAGCACUCCACGUGUCAGACUGAAUGACAAGACCUUCUUGGAUCGAUCUGCAUUUCUACUGUCAAAACUUGGUCAUUUUUCUGAAGAAAAAACAGCAGCCUGCAUUUCAGCAGAUUUCCACAUAGACAGCAAUUCCACUCAGCUAAUAAUUGCAGCAUCAUUGUUUUGUGGUACAAUACCUUUGCUGAAUAACGUUAAAUACUUGAUUGUACUUCUGUUACGACUGUGGGAGUCGUUGCAAGCUGGUGUGGUUUUAUUUCGUUUGUUCGUUUUCGCUUAGCCAGACUUUGGCUGCAAGAAAUGUUUUACUUCUCCUCUGUCUGCAGCAGCAUUUUGCCUGCAUGUUGUACAAAUUUGGCUGCCAAUGGUUUCUAAAGACAUUUCUUGAGAUGGGCACUGCAUUUUCUGGUAUUCCAAUGUCAUUGAAUUUUGUAUAUGCUGUUUUUAUAGGCCCGUUGUUUAUUAUGCAACAUGUUUGAACAGUCAUACUGGUCAUUUCCUUGAACAAAACUGAAUGUAUAUGAAAUAUUGCUCAGUGAACAAAUAAAUUAUUGGGGGGGAACGUGCACUUUGUGACAUGUGAGCCACAGGUUUGUUUGCCUGGUUUUGUUUCUUAUAUUUAAAUAUUUGUACAUGACCUUUCCCUUACCACACAUCCCUCAAGUAGAGGAUCAGGUGGGUGAAGCAGAGUCCUCCUGAUUCUGUUGAUCUCAGUGGUUUUAGUGGGAGUGAGGCACAGGGAAAAUAAAGGAAUCACACUUGUUAUUUCUUCUAUAAAAAGUUAGAGUUCCCAAAACAAUUUGAAAGGAGACUGGUCCUUACCAUGCUCGUUCAGUUUGCUUAUAGUAAAACAUCAGGUCCCAGAUGAAAUCCAGUCCGUUUUGCUGUAUCCCUUAUAAACAAACACUAAGAGAACGAUCUCUGUCAACCCAAGAAUGUAAAUCCUCUUUGGGAAAGACAGUGCUGAAUGACUAUUUUCCAUGAUUUAUAAAGGGAAAACAGAGAAGGAAAGAGAUUUCCAAAACAGCUGAUGCACUAGGAACUUUGAGAGCCCUGCCUGCAGUUGUCACUGGUGAAACCCUUGAAAAUUUCACCCUAGGUCUCAGGGAAACUAAGGAGAAAAACUGCAAGAGAUAAAAACAACAAGAAUCGCUCCCCUGCCUCUUUUACAGACCUGUUCUUCCUCUGACAUAGAACAAGCAUUUGCCCUGUAUUACUUUGUAUUGUAGGAGAGCCUCAGCUUCACUGAGGACCAAAUUUUAGCCCUUGAAUGAUGCAGACAUUGCUCUACAGAGCUCCCAUUUACAUUUAAGGAUGGACAUGAAAAUAUCGCAGCUAUAAGUAACAACUUACAGUGUCAGAAUGCUUUCAUGAUCGGUACCUUUACUGCUGGAUAAGAGAAGUUAUUUUUAGUCAAUGGUAGGAAAAUUUUGUAGGAAAUGAGUAUAUUUUUGUACAUAUAAAAUAAAUUCAGAUAAGACUAUGUAGGACUACAUCAAUCUUUCUUAGUGAAGUGGUUGCAGCUCCUCCUCUGUAACAGAACACGUGCCCAAACCUGCCAGGUGAGGACAGGAAGGAAUUACUUUUUCCUGACAUACUGGAUGAUAGUUAUUUUCCUAACUUGGUCAUGAUUUGCUGACCUUCGGCACGUCUGAGCACUUGCACUGUGUUUAAAUUCCCCUCUGUGCAAUGGAUGUGACAUAUCCCAACUGUCCCAGGAAUGCUGAGCCUCAUAAAAUACCAUCAAUGAUUUUGAAAAGCUGACAUAUGUCAGGAAAAAAAUAAAACCUGUUGGUGCACUUGUUUCCUUUCUUUACAGCUACAUGAGUUAGGCAAAUGCUGCCAGUGCUUUUUCUGGGAUAAACUUCCUACCUCUUUCCGGUUCCUCGGAUAUCCGGAUUCUCAGCAGCUUCUGUCCGCUCAGCUCCAUCAAUAAACUGCCCUCAUUGCAUCCUUUUUCAUAAAGGCCAAAAUCCCUUGGUAGGACAGCGCUAAUGGCACGGUGAGAAAGAGCCACGAGGCUGCUACUUCCACCUGUCCUCAGUGCGAAGGGAAAAGGCACAGCUUUCACUCAAAUCCUGACCACGGGCCAGCACAGCCACUUCACUGCCAGGAAAUUCGGCUCAAGGCCCUUUCUGAAACUACUACCGACUUUAAGUUUUAAAUUAUGUUAAGGCAAAAUGCAUGAAAUAGAUUAAGUUAAACUAUACUUAAUGUAUAUUCAGUCUGAAUGCUUUAAU